CUCCGCCGCUGCCCGCGCAUGCGCACAUACGCGUGCUGUAGCCACCUGCUAACCCGAGACUUCGAGACGUUCUGAUGAAAUUUCGGCGUCUGAGUCUCCUCAGCCCACUGCACGCGCAUGCGCGCACACGCGCGCUGUAGCCACCUCAGACCUCGAGGCGUUCUGAGGAACCUUCAGCGUCUGAGUAUAUGCGGACCGACGGUUCUGGCAGCUGGAGCGGGUUCCCGGUCGAGGUGAGAAUGUGGUGUGUGACGGCUCGGGCGUGUCUGAUUCCAGCGUGCUCCCUUCAGCUCUUCACUGUGUGUAGUAGAGUCUCGGCCCCUCAUCCGGAGAACUUUAAUCAGCAGCUGGAUCUGGAGAUCUCGCCUGCUGAAGCACUGGACGUCUCCAAUGCUUUACAUCUCGCCAGCCUUCACAUGUCCUGAUUCAGCAAUUUAGAUUCCUUUUACAAUCACAAAUCAAGGUUUCUUGUGUAAUUGAUUGUGCGUCAACUUCUGUCUGAUCUCUCAAAUUCAUCCGAUUGUUUCAGAGCAACUCUCACUGUUCUAUAUUUUUAGAUAUUAUAGAUAAUUUAAUAUUAACAGGCAUUUUAAUAAAUUAACAUCUGUGUGUGGCAGAAGCUUUAUCACA
Long non-coding RNA from Silurus meridionalis, 630 nucleotides. RefSeq lists it as uncharacterized. The transcript has 3 exons. Lineage: Eukaryota; Metazoa; Chordata; Actinopteri; Siluriformes; Siluridae. The record is from RefSeq and is a predicted model, not a curated record.